UCUGAAGCCUGCAGCGUUUUUUGUUGGUGCUGCCUGGAAUUUGGCUCUGCGAUGCGUGAGCAGCUGCUCAGGCUGGGAUGAGAUUUCCUCCCCUUCGUGGACCCAACCGUUUAUUCACCGUGUGUGUGGGUCCUUUGCGUGCCGGUUGACGCUGGACUUCUCCAAGGAGAUGCCCACCCCCACACAAGCUGAGGACCCCUCUGCAAUGUGCAUAUCUGAAGAUCUGCCGUCAUUCCUAAGGACCCCUGGGAAUCAUCCUGCCUCACCCUACAUUGGAGAAACUGAGGCCAAAGACAGGAAGAAACCUGCCUGAGUCUGUCACCUUUGUGGGUUAGUGUGUACCACAAGCAAUCUCCAGUCCUUUGGUCGGGGUGAGAAGAGCUGUCCAGGGCUGGGGACGCUACCUGCUUCUGGGGCCUUCCAGAAACAGAGGAAGAUGAUGCGCAGUGUGGGGAGGGAGGCUUGAGGGCCAGGGAUGAAGAGAUGCCCAUCUGCACGCAGUACACAUUGAUUUUAUGAGGUACAGAUUUUUCUCCCCAUUUGGAUAAAAGAUAGACCUUGAAGUGGCCAUCUUAUUAGCUGUUUUGGGUACUUAGAGGUGACAGGCUGCACGUCUCCAGGGCUUCAGAAGUAACCACUUAUGUCUCCUGUGGAAUACUGUCUUCCUACUUUUAAUCCUGUGACUGCUUCCCUGAUCAUUUUGAAUGGCCUGACUGGACACAGGCUCUGCUAGAUAGAUGACCUUAGGGGGACUGACUCUGAUGAAGUAGAGCCACCCUAAAAGCUGUCCUGUGGUCCUGUCAUUGAAUGUCCCCCUACAAGGCUCCACAGGCAGCCUUCCUAGACCACCGACUACUGGGCAAGCCUUUGAAAAUUCUUCCUAUGGCCGGGCAGUGGUGGCGCACGCCUGUAAUCCCAGCACUUGGGAGGCAGAGGCAGGCGGAUUUCUGAGUUCGAGGCCAGCCUGGUCUGCAGAGUGAGUUCCAGGACAGCCAGAGCUAUGCAGAGAAACCCUGUGUCAAAAAACCAAAAA
Long non-coding RNA from Apodemus sylvaticus (European woodmouse), 1033 nucleotides. RefSeq lists it as uncharacterized. The transcript has 3 exons. The record is from RefSeq and is a predicted model, not a curated record. Lineage: Eukaryota; Metazoa; Chordata; Mammalia; Rodentia; Muridae.